RNAcentral lists this long non-coding RNA (903 nucleotides) under Cicer arietinum (chickpea). Its description in RNAcentral is "long non-coding RNA (CARI_LNC002639)". Lineage: Eukaryota; Viridiplantae; Streptophyta; Magnoliopsida; Fabales; Fabaceae. The record is from RNAcentral.
GAAAACAAAAAAUAUAUUAAUGAUACACAUAAAAAUUACAAAAACUAAUAAAAAUAAAUAAACUAAAACCUUAAUCCUGGUAUUGAAACUAAAGCUUUGGCUUCACUCUUAAUCUGUCUCUAUACCUUUUAGAAUUUCAAAUUAGAAAGUUGACAAAUCAAGUGGAGCCAAGAUCACUUUAGUAAAGAUUUAAUUGCAUAUAGGCCACAAAAAGAGUUCUUGACCUUUUCUUUUCUUUGAUACUGGUGGUGAUGAAAAGCCGUAGGAACCAGCUAGCAUUUGCCGCUUGCUGAAUAUACGUGUGGUUAUUUUGAUUUUGAUCUACAUGAAACAAACCAUUUGCCACUAAGUUACUAUGAGGAAUGACCUCUGACAAAGGAGAGACAAAACAAUUCAGAUAAAAUUGAGCCUAACAUUGGCCAUGGAAUAUCAAUGACUGCACAUUAAAACUACCUAUGCAAACGUAAUCGAUGCAAAGGUUAAUGCUUCAAGUUUUUCAAAGUGUCUCUAAGAUUAGAGAGAUAAAUUUCUCAUAUUUUAGAAUCCACAAAAUGUCAUAGAUUAAGAAACAAGAAACAGGAAAUAGAAUAAAGAGUGAUACCAAAAUCAAUCAUUUGAAGAUGAUUAUAGAGUUAGUAGUAAUGCAAACGAUGCAAAAGUUGAGCGAUAAGAGAGCAAGGAUGAAAAUACAUACCAAAAUCACCAAGUCACAAAGAGGUAGUCUCGCAAGAUACCAAAACCCUAAUCGAUGCAGAAUUGCGAAAAAAUGGGGAAAUCACGAGAAAACUUUAAUCGAUACAGAAACCCUAAUCGAUGUUUUUCCCCUUUUUUAUUCAGGCCGAGCGAUGUAGAAGGUUCGAGAGAAGACAAAGUUACGGGAAGAUUGUUUUGCGCGAAAACCAU